Molecule: ribosomal RNA, 332 nt
Filed under: uncultured bacterium
Lineage: Bacteria
Description: bacterial SSU rRNA
Rfam family: Bacterial small subunit ribosomal RNA
Source: RNAcentral
CACGCAGGCGGUCUGCUAAGUUCGGAGUGACAGUCACCAGCUUAACUGGUGAAGGACUUUGAAAACUGGCGGACUUGAGAGCGAGAGAGGGACAUGGAAUUCCGGGUGGAGCAGUGAAAUGCGUAGAUAUCCGGAGGAACACCAAAGGCGAAGGCAGUGUCCUGGCUCGUAUCUGACGCUGAGGUGCGAAAGCUAGGGGAGCGAACGGGAUUAGAUACCCCGGUAGUCCUAGCCGUAAACGAUGACCACUAGGUGUGGGAGGUAUCGACCCCUUCCGUGCCGCAGUUAACACAGUAAGUGGUCCGCCUGGGGAGUACGGUCGCAAGACUAAA